CCUACGGGAGGCAGCAGUGAGGAAUAUUGGUCAAUGGGCUUAAGCCUGAACCAGCCAAGCCGCGUGAGGGAAGACGGUCCUAUGGAUUGUAAACCUCUUUUGUCGGGGAGCAAAAGCCGCCACGCGUGGCUUUCCGAGAGUACCGGAAGAAAAAGCAUCGGCUAACUCCGUGCCAGCAGCCGCGGUAAUACGGAGGAUGCGAGCGUUAUCCGGAUUUUUUGGGUUUAAGGGGUGCGAAGGCGGAAGAUCAAGUUAGCGGUAAAAUUUAGGGGCUCAACUUCUUCGAGCCGUUGAAACUGGUAUUCUUGAGAGAGGUAGAGGUAUGCGGAAGGUGUGGUGUAGCGGUGAAAUGCUUAGAUAUCACGCAGAACUCCGAUUGCGAAGGCAGCAUACCGGCGCUCAACUGACGCUCAUGCACGAAAGUGUGGGUAGCGAACAGGAUUAGAUACCCUUGUAGUC
RNAcentral lists this ribosomal RNA (459 nucleotides) under uncultured bacterium. RNAcentral's name for it is "partial 16S ribosomal RNA". It matches the Rfam family "Bacterial small subunit ribosomal RNA", at positions 338 to 795 of the family's 1533-position model. The record is from RNAcentral.